CUCAAUCCAACACCUCCUCAGGCCUCUUCGUCUCUAAAUAAGAAACCCUAGAAGCCGCCCUCAAAUUCUCUACACCACCUCUGUUGAUGGUGGGCUCCAAACCAUCCUGAAUUCAUACCACGCAAACCCCAAGCCCUUCUAAAUCUUAUCCCCAUAUCUAUUUUCCUAAAAUCUCAAGUAAUUCCGCAAAUUCCAAAUCUAGGAAGUUCAAACCCUAAUUUAUUUUAUUUUUCUAAUUUCGCACAAGUUUCAUCUCACUUUAACCAGUAACCUAUGUAAGUUGAUUGCUCUUGACGAGAUCAAUCGGUGGGCAUUGGUUUUGGUUCUUUCUGAGAUGCAAGAUUUUGACGAACUCGUAAGAUUCCAGCCAAAUGUCUACUCCCGCCAUCGUUCAUCGAUUCGUUUCAUUUGGUCAAGACAUUCCAGCGUGAAUUGGUACUUUCCCUUCUUUUUUCUUGUGACUUUUUUAUUGUAGUAUAUUUGAUAUUUUUUAAAUUUUAUUUUUAUUUGCUUCAUUUAUUUGUCUUGUUUUCUUUAUGUAGUGGAAUCCAUCUUAAUUUGGUAGUUAAAUUAGGUUUAAUCAUAAGAGUCUGGAUUGUUUAUUUGUUUUCUAUUUUCUGAAUUUGACCUUUUUUUAUUUGAUAAUUUCUAAUUGUUUGGGUUUUUGUAUUGGCUGUGGUCAUUAUUGACCUGGCUGAGAGACCCGUUCAUUUGUGUCCGUGGGUUAAUUUGACCCAGGUUGGCAUUCUGAAUGUAAAAACAUGGAUGUCAAGGGGUAUUUUGACAUUUGGUGUUUGAGGGAAUCAUUUUCUGUUAGGAGAAUGCUUCUAGGGGAUAAGAUGAUAGUUGGUUUGAGAAGAGCAGAGGGUUUUAGAUAUUUUAAAAGAGGUAAAAAAGGAUAAAACAACCAAGAAUUCGAGGUUGGAAAGGGAAUUGGUUGGUUGGACUAGGGCUGCCUUAGGCAUGCUUAUAUAAGACCUUUUUCCCGUCAUUUUUAAGCAGCCUUUCAUACUUUAGAGAUACUAAAAAUUUCCUGCAUUUUGUUGGUUAAAACUUGCUUUGGUUCUGCUCUUGAUCUUCAUAGAUAGUCAGAAUUUUCCAAACUUCCAUAGAAUUUCUGUUGUCUAGGUUACAAAUGAUCUAAGGAAAUUGAGAUUACAUGUGCUGAAUUGAUGAUUUACAUUCUGCUAUUGGUGCCUAUUUCUUCAUUUUUCUUUUGCUCUAAACUUUGUCCCGGAUGUCUCUUGGACAUUAUCAAAUGUGAAGCUCAAACUUGAAGUAUGUUAAUUGAAUGUAUAUAUCUAAGCAUUAGUAUCAGCUUGAUGCAAUUUAGAAUCUAUCUUUUUUUUAUGCAUUUCAGUAGUUGAUACUGUAAUUUGUUCUUGUAUUCACUCAUUCUAUUGAUAAUAUGUUCCAUGAUAGGUUUGUGUUUGGACUUUAACUUUUCAUGAUAUUGGUUUGGCUAAAACUUUCCUUGUUAAGUAUAUAAUGUCUGGGCUAUUGUAGCAGGGGUUUUGGGACUCAUCUUGAUGGGUUAUGUUUAGUUCAAGUUAGUAAUGAAGUUCAGCUCGAGAUUAACUCGUAUCAUGACUCUGUUAUUUUAGGAUAUUAGUUGUAUUACUUGAAUAAAUCUAGGAACCACUGUUGAAUUGUAAUACUUAGUUCAAUAUCUGAGGUAUUUUAUUACACGUAUGAAUUCAAUGGUAGCUUAGUAGUAGUUUCAAUUCUCAAAUGUAUAUGGCCUGCAACUAAUUUUAGCAAAUGAUCUCCAUGUUCAGUAUUGUACCUAAGGCAAUAAGUUUAUAAAUGGGCCUAUUGAGUUAGCUUGCCUAAUAUGAGGGCCGAAACUGUCAGAUCCAGUUCUCUUUUGUUCUUGAGCCCAAUCUUAGGCCCAAGGGUCAUUAGCCUUGGCAUAUCAUGUGACCGUUUGGAUUCAUAUACUAGAAUGCAUUUUUGUUGUUCUCCUUUUGGCUUCAUUUUGGUUCGAAGUCGGCUCUAACUUGUUAAGUGUUUUAUAUGAUGACAAUGAAAUAUACCCCUUCUUUACUGGGAUUUCAUUACUAAAUGGUUGGGUUUAAGGCUAGUCAAUGCCGGCCAAAUCAGGUGUGUUUUGCCCUCCCUGUCUCCCCAUUUAGUUUUGUCUAAGCCCAAUCCCUAUUAGACCAUUUGCUCUCGUUUUUUCUGCAAUAAUUUAGGUUUGUAAUUGGCCCCCCAAAAAUAGUUGAAGGACUAGCAUGUAUCUCAAGUUUUUUACCGGCAGUU
Molecule: long non-coding RNA, 2262 nt
Filed under: Nicotiana benthamiana
Lineage: Eukaryota; Viridiplantae; Streptophyta; Magnoliopsida; Solanales; Solanaceae
Description: long non-coding RNA (NBEN_LNC037226)
Source: RNAcentral